Long non-coding RNA from Octopus sinensis (East Asian common octopus), 758 nucleotides. RefSeq lists it as uncharacterized. The record is from RefSeq and is a predicted model, not a curated record. The transcript has 2 exons. Lineage: Eukaryota; Metazoa; Mollusca; Cephalopoda; Octopoda; Octopodidae.
UCACAGCUUUCCAUUUCGGAAGUACAUUGGGAGCCAUGUAAAGCCUAUAAAUAAGGUUUCUCAGAAGAAUAUUCGUCUUAGGUUUCCAGUCCUUCUCAGGGCGAACCUCUGACCACACACAGAGCUCGUCUUAGGCUUUUAGUUCUUUUAAGAGCUAAGUCUCUGACCACACAGAGAAUACUCGACCAAGUUCCAGUUUCGAGGCAGGCGACCACCAUUAAUACAAGAUGUUACAGAUACCUCUCAUACUGUUAGUGUGAAAAAUCACCACGAAGAAAACGGUUACAAGAUAUCUAUAACUAGAGAAACAUAACCAAGCAGAACAUAUAAUGAAGAAGCAGCAAGAACCAAUCGACAAACAUCGAAGAUUUAAAUUGUACACGAGACAACUACAGAUUCAACUAUAGCGGUUAGGUGAAAUUCUCGCCACGAAGAAAACGGCUACAGUAACAUGUCUGGAAGUAUAUUCAUAUCAAGAGAAAGAUAAACACAACGAGUGAUUCAAUUAAUCUCAACUGCAACACGCAAUACCUUGAUAUAGAACUCUUACAGUGUACCUCAUAAACGGUAAAUCAAUUAUCUGUUCUUGGGUUCUAGUUUCUUCUAAGAACUACCUUAAGCCAUCUGUUAUUACCUGUUGCCAAGCCGAUACCAACAACAUUAACUGUGAAUCAAAUCCCAUCGUCAAUUCACUGGUCAGUACCUUUUUACGCCUAACGAACACACAGACACAAAAACAUGCGAACACUUACAAACUU